RNAcentral lists this ribosomal RNA (234 nucleotides) under uncultured bacterium. Its description in RNAcentral is "partial small subunit ribosomal RNA". It matches the Rfam family "Bacterial small subunit ribosomal RNA", at positions 26 to 288 of the family's 1533-position model. The record is from RNAcentral.
AGAACGAACGCUGGCGGCAGGCUUAACACAUGCAAGUCGAACGCCCUCGCAAGGGGGAGUGGCAGACGGGUGAGUAACGCGUGGGAACAUACCCUUCGGUACGGAACAACUUGGGGAAACUCGAGCUAAUACCGUAUACGGCCUAUGGGCGAAAGAUUGAUCGCCGAAGGAUUGGCCCGCGUCCGAUUAGCUAGUUGGUGGGGUAAUGGCCUACCAAGGCGACGAUCGGUAGCU